UCCCCUCUGCCGCCCCCUGCGCUCACCUUCUCUCCCUUCAGCGGGGAGAUCCUUCAUGUACUAUUGCAUUUCUAUUCCAAAUCCCCCUUUCAGACAUGAAGAGAAACAAAGAGCAGCCCAAAUCACGGCGGCCCCGCGGAGCGCGGGGGUGAGAGGAUUAUAACUUUGCCGUCGCCCCGGACGAUUGAAACAAAUCAAGAUGAAUUGCCGCUCGGCCCUCCCUCCCUCCCGGCGGCCCUCAACCCCUGGGCGGGCAAGGAGGGGCUGCAGGGGGGUGCGGGGCUGCUCCUGCGGCACCCGGCGAAGAAAUUCCGCAGGCGCUCAGAGCCUCUGUGCUUGGGGCGGGGGGAGGCGGUGCCCCCUCCUCAAUACCCGGCCUUCCCGCCGCUCCGAACCAACGCCGUUCCCGUCGUUUUUUUCCGCACCGUGUCAACACCUAACAUGGGUGAGUGUCACAGGGGCUUCAAAAAAUGUCCCCUUCUUCCUCCUUGUCCUCUCCCUCCUCGCUGGGCGGCGGGCGGGAGGUCUGGGGGCGACGGCGGCUAGGGGCGGGCAUCUGGGACCCCCCCGGGGUGGGGGGGAAGUGGAGAAACUCGAGUGCUUUUCUGCCCCAACCGUCCCGGCCGGACGGGCUCGGAAAACCAGCAAGCGGCUCGCUGCGGGUAUCGGCACGGUAUUUUACAUGCUCUUCUCGGCUCUCGUUUCUUCUCGGCGGCGUUGGUUAUUUAUAUUCCUCUCAUAUAUAUAAAAUAUCCAUGUAUUUAUUUAGAAUAUGUGUGUGCGUGGAGAAGGAAUAUGUAUGUAAUAUAUAGUAUACGCGUACACGUUUAGAAGUAUAAUAUAUACCGUAUCAGACAAAAAAAAAAAAAAUUGGAUCAGAGUUUUCCACUCUACUGUGUAAUGGCUCAAAUGAUGAAAAAUCAACGUGACCGCUCAGAGAGGACAUAAAUCACUCCGAGUGUAAUCUGAAUUUCUCUUUCUCCCCCUAGCUGAAGCCUUGAGGGUCAUCAUUUUUCUGCGCCACUUGACCAAAGAUAUAAUGUUUUGAUUAGGUUGUAAAUCAAAAUCUUGGCUCGCGGUUUUUCUUUUUCUGAUUUUCUUCUUUUUUUUUUUUUUUUUUUUUUCCGGGGUCUUCCCCUUAUCUGCGGUGGCAACGCGAACCUGGAACAAUGGAAGCCGUAGAGAGGGCUUGGAAAAGCCACAACGAAAUGAGGGAUUUGCAAAGUGCCUAUUUGCAGAAGCGGCGGGGGAGAGGGGUGAAACACCGGCCUCGCACCCCUCAACACCCCCCACCCCCGGGAGCCCUCGGCAAGGGGCCUGCUGCUCGUCCCCGCGCGCCGGGCGUGCGAGCGGGCAGCGCCGUCUGCUUCCCAAUCCACAUCCUAAUCCACAUCCCAAUCCACAUCCUAACCCACAGUCCCGCCGGCCGGGGCAUCCCUGCUGCCUUGGCCCCGCCGCCCACCGCCUCGGCUCUGCUCUUUUGUUUUCGGACGGGGCCUCCGCACUUUGGACGGUGGCGGCGCGCCCAGGGCAGGGCUAAACGCGGUGUCGGUGUGUCCCGGGAGGCUCUCCCGCGGGCCUCUCCCUGCUCGGCUUUGUGCUACUUCUCGCCCGCCCGCGUGUGCAGGCACACCGGCCUCCGCAUACCUGUACCAGGAAAUAAAAGAAACUUUUCCGGGUUU
Long non-coding RNA from Pezoporus occidentalis (night parrot), 1682 nucleotides. RefSeq lists it as uncharacterized. The transcript is spliced from 3 exons. NCBI's taxonomy places the organism in Eukaryota, Metazoa, Chordata, Aves, Psittaciformes, Psittacidae. The record is from RefSeq and is a predicted model, not a curated record.